UUAAUUAAGGUUCAGAAGAAACGUCUCUUGCAUCUCUCUCUCUCCGCUACUCAUCUCCUCCUUCACGAAUCCCAUCCUCUCGAUCUCUCCAAUAUCCCAUGGUUUCAUCGUAUCUUCUUCAAAUCUUUUCAUCUCUCUGUUUUCCUCGUAGAUCCCUCUGUUUUCCCUUUCUAUCCUUCACGACACGGCUGAGGAUCAGGGUUUGGGGCUUUUGCGUGUGAGUGAUUGGAAGAUGUAUUUGAUUAUGAGGUUGGGGCUGGAGAUGAAGGAAGGGUUGUUGUUGUGGUGGCUUUCGAGAGGGAUGACGGAGAAUUUGUCUCGGUGGAAGUGAUGAGGACGACACUUGUUGCAGAAGUGUGUUGACUGAUAAAGAUUUGUUUUUUUUUAUCUAUUGGUUGGGGCAGAGAAGGGUCAGUGAUUAAGCAGAAGACAAGUGUUUCGUCUCUAGUUAUUGAUCCAUGUCGUGUCACUCAGCUCUCUUGGACUCCUAGGGUGUUUUUGUACAAGGGAUUUCUUACAGAUGAGGAAUGUGAUCAUUUCAUCAACUUGGCACUAUCAAUCAAUCAAUCAUCUUCUUCAUUAUGCUUUUUGUUUGUUUGAGAACUUAGUGAUGAUGAUCAUGGAAUGUUUUGAGACUGUGUGACUUAAGUCAACUACUUUGUUUUUUUAGGCGAAAGGGAAACUUGAGAAGUCAAUGGUCGCGGAUAAUGAUUCAGGUGAGAGCGUGGCAAGUGGAGUGCACACUAAUUCUGGAAUGUUUCUUUCCAAAAGACAGAAGAUGAGUUUUGCAGAGAGAUAGAGCUUCUCGCCAGGCUGCAUCACCGCCAUCUAGUUGCUUUGAAAGGCUUUUGUGUUAAGAAGAACGAGAGGUGAACUAUUAUUACACUUUUGCUUCCUUUCUUUCUCCUCUGCUCAUCAAACUUGAGAGUUUCCAGAUUCCUUAUCUACAAAUAUAUGGCAAAUGGGAGCUUGACGGAUCAUCUACAUUGUAUGCUCAUGACUCCUAAAUUUUUUUGCUAUAUUGUAGAUUUGACUUCAGAAUCUUUGACUUUUUAUUUAAGAACUCUUAGUUGAGUUUUUGCAUUGGACCACUAAAACUAAUUGUCUCUUAACAAAAGUUUUUAGCUUAAUUUUAUUAUUUAAAUAUU
Molecule: long non-coding RNA, 1148 nt
Organism: Brassica oleracea var. oleracea
Lineage: Eukaryota; Viridiplantae; Streptophyta; Magnoliopsida; Brassicales; Brassicaceae
Exons: 3
Source: RefSeq, a predicted model, not a curated record